CACGCCGUAAACGAUGAGUGCUAGGUGUCGGGGGGGAACCCUCGGUGCCGCAGCUAACGCAAUAAGCACUCCACCUGGGGAGUACGAUCGCAAGAUUGAAACUCAAAGGAAUUGACGGGGACCCGCACAAGCAGCGGAGCAUGUGGUUUAAUUCGAAGCAACGCGAAGAACCUUACCUGGACUUGACAUCCCCUGAAUAACUCGUAAUGGAGGAAGCCCUUCGGGGCAGGGAGACAGGUGG
Molecule: ribosomal RNA, 241 nt
Filed under: uncultured bacterium
Lineage: Bacteria
Description: partial 16S ribosomal RNA
Rfam family: Bacterial small subunit ribosomal RNA
Source: RNAcentral